Molecule: long non-coding RNA, 3885 nt
Organism: Boleophthalmus pectinirostris (great blue-spotted mudskipper)
Lineage: Eukaryota; Metazoa; Chordata; Actinopteri; Gobiiformes; Gobiidae
Exons: 2
Source: RefSeq, a predicted model, not a curated record
AUAUAUAUAUAUAUAUAUAUAUAUAUAUACAUACAUAUUGGGCUGAAUUUAUUAUUAAGCAAAUUGGUUGCUGAAUACUUUUGAAAUUUAUGUAAUAGGAAGGAAGAUGGAUGAUUGUUAUGUCUGUGUUAUGUCCUAGGCCAAAUCCAAAUCAAAAUGACCAAAAUGUAUAAUCAUUAGGGGAGAUGCUACAAGGUUCUGCAAUAUCGGAAGUGGGAGAGGGUCCAAGCAUAGACUUUGACCUGUGCGCUUCCGUGAUGCAGUACAAAUACCAAGUAAGAUCUAAGACUUUAAGAGAAAUCCAUCGUACUCUUCCAUGGCCUACUUUUUACGAUAAAAGAUUAAGACCGAUUUUAAACAGUUCAAUGAAAGUAAUCAAAUUAUUAAGAGGGUGUAUUUUCUGCGAUUGGGAGAGAAUUUGGACAAAUUUGUAAUUUCAGAAGAGAAUUUGGACAUAGAAAUGCCCAGUGCCUAUAGAGAAAAACGAUCAACUUCUGCCUUUUCUGGCACCACUCCUCCAGGAAUGUCCAGAGUGCUCUGUGGUUCUAUAGUUUGGAACCCUAGGAGAGGAGGGACGUCUACUCUUCUAAAAUUUUGUGAUGAACAUUCCGGGAGGAUAUUUUACACAGGAAACAGACAGGCCGUUUCCACUCUCAUGAUGGACUUCUCUAAAGGUCAUAGCACUCAAUGAAAAGUUUUGACUUUUGUUUUUAUAAUAAUUUUUGUUUUUGCUUGCUAAAUGUAGAAAACUCAUAUACUCAAUUUAGAUGGCAGUUUGGCACUUAUAUAUUUGUGGUUUGAUGCUAAAAUCUGUAUUUUGUUUUGUUUUUCUUUGAGAUGUAUCGUGUGCAGCAAACUAGGAAGCCUCAGCCAAAUGAGAGAGGGGACGAAGGGCCCAGAGGUCAACAGAGGGGAAACAGGCUCAUUGGCCGCAACUGAGGUACCCCGGCAUGCGUGUAGUUUGUAGAGAAUUUGGCUUGCCUUACUUGGCACCCACGCGCCCAUAUUGGACACCGGGAGCGGCUUGGAUGGGGUGUUUCACUACUACUUUGCCGAAGUACAGUGAAGUACCGAGAAACUUGUGGCUUCCAAGCUCUCCUUGGGAACUAUAUGUUACUGGGGGGAAACAAUUCAUCAAGAUUCAGUCGGAGAGGGGCAUUGUCAGGAGCAAGGGUGGUAAUGAACUGAUUGGUUAUUCUCAAACUGGGGGAACUUGGUGGCAGUGUCCGGCAAUGCACCCUGAUUUAACUGGGGCAAUAUUUGAGCACCCGGUAAUUAAAAAACAACGACUGAUGUUUGUAAUGAAGUCUGGUUGUACAAAGCCUGUAAAUGGAGGUAUUAUGGAGGGUUCGGUGAGCCUGAUUACUGUACUUCGGCACAUCCAGAUUAUAACGGUAUUAUUUGGAGCGAUGCUCAAACCAUGCAAGAAAAUUCUCCCGAACUGCUUAGCAUGCUGCGGACGAGUAAUUAUAACUCGAUUGCGGCCUAUCAUAGGCAAUUUGGUACAGGGAAUAGGCGUUACGUGUUAAAUGAAUGCAUAGUUCAUAUACGUGUACACAGUUAGUAAAAGUCACCAAUGAGACAAUGGCUCAGAUUGCCUCCCAGUGCUAUAACGGAUGGGCAGCCUAUUUCUGUCCAGAAAUCUUCUAUCCUAGAACAAUGGACCCAAAGCUGUUGGCACCUGCGAGGAUGGAAGAGGAGAGGCCCAAGUCAACUGCACGCGGCAUCCAGAACGUCCCGCCCAGUCACAUCGUCCUGGGACGCCCGCCAAAACCUUCACAGGGGGAUGUCGUGAACCCCCCCUCGGCCACAGGAGAGCUCACUCGGGUGGGGUAAAAGGAUGAAGGUUUUGGUGUAAGCCCCACUAAAAGGGCUCCUGAAUUCAGAUGAAGACGUUCAUGAUGCUUUAUUUUGCUAAUUGAAUAACUGUUAGAGUAUUAGAGAUUAAGAGUGUUUUGGUUUAGAUAUUAGAAGUGUUUUUGUGACCCAUAUUACCCUGAGUUACUUAUUUUGCUUUGAUUUAAUCUGAUUUGUUUCCCUCAUAUUGAUUUGCUUAAUUCUUUCAAUUUAAUUUUUAAAGUUUAGGUUGUUUUGCAAUAAUUUCUGUAACCGUUAUGUUUGUGUGCAGGAAAAACAAGGACCUUCUGUUCUUUUUACAGUUGACCUUUAUUUGACACUGAAGUAUGAAACUUAUUGUUCUGCGGUGUGCGAGGGGCCUGUAUGCAAGGCGGUUGCGAAGCUUCCUGUUCCUUCGACGAAGCGAGGUGGCCGUUGCUUCACAUCUGGCUGGGGCAGAGGCGUAGGGGUUUAGAAUGGUGAAGAUUGUGGUUUCUAAGAAAGUGUUGCCUGUACUUGAAAAAUGUGUGCUAUCUGUGACGUACUGAUCACUUUGCAUGUACCUGGGUGGAGUUCUGUGACCUCAUAUAAAAUACAGAAAAUUCCGCAUAAUAAUUCAGAUCCUGAUUUUUGGUUGGCAUUGGCCCUCCGGCUGUAACUCGGCUAAGGAGGUCAGAUCUCAAAUUCGGACUAGGCUGUGCUUUAUAGCUUUCCUGGUCACAGGGUAAUUUCUCCAAAAGGUACUUGCAAGGUGAUUUGUCCUAAUUAUUUUUGUAUGAGCUUUCUGUUAAAAAUACAAUAAAAAGCAGAUAAAAUAAGACAGAGACAAAUCACUUGUUGGAAUCUUUUGUUGAGUCUUUCCCUCAAUUAUUAAAAAAAUAUAUAUAUAUUCACUAUGAGCGAGUCAAGUCAUCCUAGAUUUGUCUUUCUCUGGAGAUAGAGUCUGGAACAGGAAUCCUCUGGAGUUUCUUGGAGCCAAAGGGUUUCCGUCAGAGAUAGAGGCCAGUUUCUGGAGCAUGGCCUGAGGCUGACUCAGCAGAGAGCCCCUCUUCACCUGCAGGAGGGACACUAUGGAUGAGAUCUACAAGCUUAAUCACAAAUGAACCAAAAUCACUGUUUCAAAUGGGACGCAAAAAGAAGCAGAAAUUCUGAAAUUUAAGUUCCCAAGUACCAUCAAACAGUGUCUGCGUAACAACUAAUUCGUCCAGGUAUGAUCCACAGCGAAUAAAAAAAAAAAUCAUUUCUAUCAACUGAACACCAGAACUGAAGCCACUUGGACUUGGAGUUGGUGAAACGUUAACAAACUCUCUCAUCCUUUUCUGCAUAAAAACUGCUAACAGUGGAGUGAGUUAGUUUGUAGUUUGUACAAAGAUGUUCUAUUAGUUUGUCAUUUCAUCUUUUUGUUAAUUCUGAAAAACUUUUAAUAUGUGAAAUUUGAAGCAUUAUUAAAACUUAAAUUGCAAAUCUAAUCUCUCAAUCUCAAUGUUAAUCAGAAGAUUCUCAGUUUGAUAUUUUUCACAAAUGGUUCAGCCCUAUUAUGGAGCUUAAUCACAUUGACACAAGUUUAGUAUGAGAAGUUACAAAUCUAAGAUGGGAAGAACAAGAAGAAGUAGUGUAAAUAAAUACCGGUAGGUUCUGUGUUGGUCUCUGGAAAGGAUUCAAGGCAACAGUGGACUUUUUCUCAGUUGGAACGACCACUGGGGGCUCUGAAAGAAGAGAUCAUAUUUUUUAAACACAGUGAAGAAUAAGAGCUAAGGUUGUGAAAUUUCUAAAUAGUUAAACCCUUACUAAAUAUAUAUAUAUACUGUAUAUUUUUAAGCUCAGUAAGGGGUGCUUUAAGAUGAAGAACAAAAUACACUAUGUAAUUUGGAUCAAUCACGAACAUCUUAAAAUAUUCAUCAGUCAAAAAUUCAUCUGUAGAAAAAGAAUAAAAGCAGCAGUUUGUGUGUAAUGUUUUGUAAUUUGUGCCUCUCCAGGUUGUUGAUUAGAUAAUUUUUCUAAUUGACUGGAGCAAUAGUUCAGUUUAAUAAUAAAAAUAAUCGCACCUUU